AGAGUUUGAUCCUGGCUCAGAACGAACGCUGGCGGCGUGGAUUAGGCAUGCAAGUCGAACGAGGAGGUUUUUCUUUGAGUUUUCGGACAAGGAGAGAAACUGGAAGUGGCGAAAGGGUGAGUAACGCGUGAGUAAUUUGCCUCUAAGCCGGGGACAACCUUGCGAAAGCGGGAUUAAUACCGGAUGUGGUCCCCCGAUGCAUAUCGGGGUGUCUAAAGGUGGGGACCUUCGGGCCUACCGCUUGGAGAUGAGCUCGCGUCCCAUCAGCUUGUUGGUAGGGUAACGGCCUACCAAGGCUUACGGGUAGCUGGUCUGAGAGGACGAUCAGCCACACUGGGACUGAGACACUGCCCAGACUCCUACGGGAGGCUGCAGUCGAGAAUCAUUCGCAAUGCGCGAAAGCGUGACGAUGCACGCCGCGUGCAGGAUGAAGGCCCUUGGGUCGUAAACUGCUGUCAUGGGGGAGUAAUGACUGUAGUGCAAAUAGCGCUACGGAGUGAUAGUACCCCAAGAGGAAGCCACGGCUAACUCUGUGCCAGCAGCCGCGGUAAUACAGAGGUGGCUAGCGUUGUUCGGAUUUACUGGGCGUAAAGGGUGCGUAGGCGGCUUCGUAUGUCAGAUGUGAAAUCUUACCGUUCAUCGGUGGAAGUGCAUUUGAAACUGCGGGGCUAGAGUACGGGAGAGGAGAGCGGAAUUCUCGGUGUAGCGGUGAAAUGCGUAGAUAUCGAGAAGAACGCCGGAGGCGAAGGCGGCUCUCUGGAACGUAACUGACGCUGAGGCACGAAAGCUGGGGGAGCAAACAGGAUUAGAUACCCUGGUAGUCCCAGCCGUAAACGUUGUACACUUGGUGUAGGGAGGUUUGUCCCUCUCUGUGCCGAAGCUAACGCAUUAAGUGUACCGCCUGGGGAAUACGGCCGCAAGGCUAAAACUCAAAGGAAUUGACGGGGGCCCGCACAAGCGGUGGAGCAUGUGGCUUAAUUCGAUGCAACGCGAAGAACCUUACCAGGGCUUGACAUGGUGACUCUUCGGAGGUGGGUGUGAAAGCACCCUUAUACACACAGGUGCUGCAUGGCUGUCGUCAGCUCGUGCCGUAAGGUGUUGGGUUAAGUCCCGCAACGAGCGCAACCCUUGUGGCUAGUUGCUAGUAUCCUUCGGGAUGCGCACUCUAGCCAGACUGCCCGUUAUAAGCGGGAGGAAGGUGGGGAUGACGUCAAGUCAGUAUGGUCCUUAUGCCCUGGGCUGCACACGUGCUACAAUGGGCGGUACAGAGGGAAGCAAUAUCGCGAGGUGGAGCUAAUCCUUAAAACCGUCCUCAGUUCGGAUCGGAGUCUGAAACUCGACUCCGUGAAGUUGGAAUCGCUAGUAGAGGCGUAUCAGCUACGACGCCUUGAAUACGUUCCCGGGCCUUGUACACACCGCCCGUCACAUCACGAAAGUCGAUUGCACCCGAAGUCGCCGUCCUAACCCGCAAGGGAAGGAGGCGCCGAAGGUGUGAUUGGUGAUUGGGAUGAAGUCGAAACAAGGUA
RNAcentral lists this ribosomal RNA (1526 nucleotides) under metagenome. RNAcentral's name for it is "bacterial SSU rRNA". It matches the Rfam family "Bacterial small subunit ribosomal RNA". The record is from RNAcentral.